AGGAAUUGGAGGAGCUUGGAAGGUGGCUAAUGUGGAAGAAGGCUCCACCGUUGCAGUGUUUGGCCUUGGUGCUGUUGGACUUGCAGUUGCAGAAGGAGCCAGACUACGUAGGGCCGCGAAGAUCAUCGGAAUUGAUACCAAUCCUGAUAAAUUCGAGCUAGGUGAUUAAAGAAAUGACAGGCGGAGGAGUUGACUAUAGUUUCGAAUGCGUUGGCGUAGCAUCUUUACUUACCGAGGCUUUCAUCAGCACCCGCACGGGAUCAGGAAAAACGGUAAUGUUGGGGAUGGAGAAGCAUGCAGCGCCAAUUAGUUUAGGUAGUUUUGAUCUUCUUAGUGGCAGAAGUAUUUGCGGAAGCUUGUUUGGUGGUCUGAAAGCUAAACUUGAUAUUCCUAUUCUCUUGGAUCACUACUUAAAAAAGGAGCCCAAUCUGGAUAGUUUUAUCACGCACGAACUGAAAUUUCAAGAAAUCAAUAAGGCUUUCGACUUAUUAAAGAGAGGAAAA
Molecule: non-coding RNA, 503 nt
Organism: Camelina sativa (false flax)
Lineage: Eukaryota; Viridiplantae; Streptophyta; Magnoliopsida; Brassicales; Brassicaceae
Source: RefSeq, a predicted model, not a curated record